CUUUUCCCUAAAAAGGAUUCUGAAUCCAUCCCCACACACACCUACCCCAAGUGGAGACUGAGUUGGGAUCAACUAGCAAAGAAGCCGGGCAGUGAUUUGCAGCAGCAACACAAUCAGACACACAAAGCAGAAUGGCCUGCAUGCAGCAAAUUAGAGACCCCAGGGCUUUCCAUGCCAAGUUCACCAAGCACAGGCCCAACAAGGGGAAGAUGCAAGCUCCAGGCCACCAGAGCACCCUGAUGUCCGCUGCUUUAAUCUCCUGAGGAUGGCCCAAAAUGACCUAAACAGAAGGCUGCAACUAACUGAAUAACUUUGGGCCAUUAGCUGACACUGGAAUACAGAUAAAGGUCUCCUGGUAAUACUGAGCAACCCAUGGACACUAUAUGGCAUCACAUUAUUAAUAAACAAUGAUGAGAACACCAUGAUACCAUCCUUGUUCUGGAUGACUUCAGAGAUGCCCCCACCUCCCGUAGAAGGCACUGGCAUAAGAAGAAUGGGAAUUACAAGAAGACCAUUCACAGAACAAACUGUUUUCAGCUUUAACUGCUCUUAAUGCCCCUGGUGUUUAAGGCUCUGGAUUGCUAGAAAUCCAACUGCCUCAAGAAAAAAAAUUUUUGCUUUUUCCCAUAACUCACUACUGAAUAUUUUCCUCUACUACAUUUACUAAUGAAAUAUGAAAAACAGGGAAAUUAUAAUGAAUGAUUAAUUGUAAGAGUAAAACUUUUCCAAAUGUCAUCAAA
Marmota flaviventris (yellow-bellied marmot) is the source of this 740-nucleotide long non-coding RNA. RefSeq lists it as uncharacterized. NCBI's taxonomy places the organism in Eukaryota, Metazoa, Chordata, Mammalia, Rodentia, Sciuridae. The record is from RefSeq and is a predicted model, not a curated record.